Molecule: long non-coding RNA, 4020 nt
Filed under: Marmota monax (woodchuck)
Lineage: Eukaryota; Metazoa; Chordata; Mammalia; Rodentia; Sciuridae
Source: RNAcentral
UCUCUGUGAGAUGUUUUUUGCAUGUGUUGUGUGACAGGAGGGAAGGGGAGUGGGUUGAGCUCGCCUGUUCUCCCAUUGUCAGCCAGUCUAGUGAGUGUUGGGAAAACCUGUCUGUGGGAUCUUGUGUCAUCUCUCCCUACAUGUGUACAGGAAAAGUCCGCGCUGCUCCUGCUGACGGUUCCUCUCUCUCUCUCUCUCUCCCUCUCUCUCUCCUCUCUCUCUCUCUCCCCUCCUCUCUCUCUCUCUUUCUCUGUUUCCCUUUCAUUCUGCUUCCCCGGAGCCGAAUGAAGCAGGGAGCAGGAUUAGAGUCGGCCACCGGCUAUCAGAGGAACAUAGAUAAAAGGAACUGCUUCUUAAGCACCACUGCCGCAGCCCUUGUUAAUUUUUUUUUUUUUUUUCCUCUCUCUUUCCACACAACAGUUGUGCCUCAUUAUCCGGUGCCUGGCUCGAUUUUUUUUUCUUUUUUUUUUUUUUGAGGGUUUGAAGUUUCUGUGCUUCAGUGACUGUUACAGAAGAAGAGGUGUUAGUGUUGCCAUGAGGUCUUGAUUGUCUGCAUUUAUGAAUGAAACUGACCUAAAUCACCUGUUACCUCCAGUUUCCAGAUUGUUUGAACUUCUCUGGCCGCACAAUACAGGAAGGAAGACUGAAGCAGCACAGAGACCUACAGCGUCUGCAGCAUGGGCUGGUUCACUGGGAUUGUCUGUCUUUUCUGGGGAGUAUUACUUACAGCAAGAGCAAACUAUCAAAAUGGGAAGAACAAUGUGCCAAGGCUGAAAUUAUCCUACAAAGGUAAAUCUUUCUUUUUCUUUCUAUUUUUUUUUUUUUUGGGCUGGCUUUUUGCCCCCGCCACACACACUUCGUUCCUUGAACUCCCUCCCAACCCAAACCAUCAAACCUUUAGUUUAACCUGAGAAACCUAUGUGAUUAUAUGUACCUUUCUGAGAUGAUUUGAACACUUUUUUUUUAAAGCACGUCUUCUGUUUGAUAUGUGACAAUUUAAAUGCAAACAAAGAACAUUUAAUCACAUUUGCAGAGAAGAGCUGCAUGCCUGGUACAUGCUGAUCUGUAUAUCUUUUGAUCAUAUCUUCUGUUAAUUUUUAUGACUUUACUUCUCUUAAAAAAUUAAAAACAAUACUAAUGUAAAAAAUGGUCUCUUUAUAAAUGUGCAUGUCUCACCUAUAAUAAUGAAUUGUAUUUUCUUAGUUUUAGACAUUAAAUGGUUAAUCAUCAUCAUGAAUAUUCAGUUUGUUCAAAUCUGACAAUCAGAUGCUUAACAUAAGCAGUAGAUCACGGUUUGCCAAGAGAACAUAAACUGGAGAACAGACUAGUUUUUCCACAGUGUGUUAUGAUUGUACAAAAGACUGUGUAUUUGACUAAUUGGUGUAAAGCUAGCUUUUCAAAUAUAAUGUUAUUUAAUUCCGUAUGCACUUCAGUGAGAAUUGAAGAGCUAUUACUCUCUAGUUGCAUAGCUACUUAUGUGAACUUCUUUAUAAAAAAGUAUAGAUUGAUAAAAGAAAAAAAACACCCAUCUGUAUUACAUGGUACUUUAUUUGGUUACAGUUUCAUGCAUGUGCUUGUUUUUAAUUGAGGAUUUAAGAGAAAAUAUUCAUCAUAAAAUUUGUUUAGACAGAUUUUAUAGAUUGAUGUAUAAAGUAAUGCUAAAAUGCUUCCAGAUAAUACUUUUUAAUAUCAGAAAAUACUUCUAUAACUCAGGUAUUAUGAAAUGGAGUUGAAGAUUAAACUGUUUGCACUCAAGUAGUUCUGCUCCCUAAGGUGCUGAUUUCUUAGGAUUCUCAGAUUUCUAGAAUUGGGGGUGGGGCAGUGAGAAGCUUCAAUUAUGCUACAAUUUUAGCCUAUGGGGUAAAAGAAAACUAUUGGAUAUCUGUGGUGAUGUCUGUCUACUGUACACUGCUCUAUGCCAGAAGAUAUAAUCUUUAAUUUUCACAUGAUGGCUAACAUCCCUUUCUGAAUGCUUUAGUGUGAAAGAGGAUCUCAAGUAGAAAAGAGAGGUAAUUUUCACACUCUGGAUUAGAAAUUAAACACCUAUUAAAUGUGUUUAUUUGAAUUUAAUACUCAUUGUGAAAAAUACAUUGAAUUAGAAAAUAUUUUUGGUCUAAUAAUUUCUUGGGUGUCCAAUGAAGAACAGAUUUUAAGCAUCAGCAAAAAUUGCAAUUUUAUUAGUUUUUUUUUUUAAAAAGCAUACCAUCCAUUAAAUACUCAAUUAAAUCUCUAUUAUGUUUCUAUUUAAUAACUGUCUUUGUAUUGUUUCUAUAACAUUUAAUGUUAUGACAUCUUUUCUCUCCUUGAGAAGAUGCCAUCAAAUAAUUCUUAAUAGUCCACUUUAUUCAAGUUUAUAUUCAGUAUAAGUUUAUAUGCAACUUUAGUUCUCAAAGAUGUGAAUGGCUGCAUGCUAUAAUUUUAGAUUAAUAAAUGUGAAAAAAAGUGAAACAUUCUAAAAUCUAUAAGAUUUAGAGAAAGUUGUCAAAGUGCUAAAUCAAUUUUAAAAUCAAAUAAAAAUUGAAUACCAUACUUUCUUAUUUUGAAAUAAUCUUAUUUUCAUGGCGAAUAGAUUAUCAUUCUCCAUGAUAGAAGAGGUACCUUUUUCUUUUUUCUAUACAUUCAAGUCAGGUAGAUAGAAUUUAAUUAAAAUAUUUUAACCUUGUCUGAUGAAGCAGCUCUAUACUUUGACAAGAUCUAUAUAUUAGACACUGUCAUUAUAAGCCUUUCCUUUUUUUUUUUUUUUUGGUAAAUGUCAUUCAUCAGAAUUAUUAUGCUUUUUUUUUUUUUUUUAAUCAAAACUGCCUCACAGCUAUAUAACAAUUCUACUGAUAUACCAAAAGCUUGGCAGUUUGGUUAAAAAUAAACUGUGAAAUGGACAACAAGAAUAAACAGAGUGGUCCAAACAGUUUUUCUUGUGUCAUUUUAUUGGUCUGUCAUUACCUUUUUGUCUCUGGAUGUAGCUUGUUUUGCCAAAGCAAACACCUGGCAUCCAAUUGUCAGUACUUUGUUUCUAAACUAUAAUGGAGAUAGAUUUUUUUUAGCUACUUCUUUUUCCUCCUUAAUGAGAUGUCAAACAUAGUUAAAAUAUCAACUGCAUUACCCUUAAAAAUAUUCCAGCAGGACUCAUGAAGAGUUAAAUCCCUGCCAACCUUCAUUUCCCAUGGUCACUUGUUUUCAAAGAUCCACCAUUAACCCUCUCAUUGCUCAGGUGGCUAAGAUGAAGUUUCAUGCAAUUACUGAACUUAUUUUCUACUUGCCUAGUAGGAGAUUAAAGAGAUUUGAUACAUUAAAUGAGAAAGAAAAAGAAGUAAAAACAAGAAGGCAGCCUUUGUUGGGAAUGUACACCCAUAUCUAAUAAGAUACCUCUUUACUUUCUAGGAAAAAGGACUUGAAUAGAUGUGCUCAGGACCAUCUGGAGAAGUGAUAAUAUUAGAAAAAUGGGGUAUGCUGGCUUUUCCUCUGAACCAAUCUGAUUUAGAAUCCUUGUGGGGGAAGAAAAUGUGAGAACUCCAUAAAUCUCAGCAGUCACAUAGAAAUUAUCCUCAAGAAACAUUCACUCAGAGAUACUUUUGCCUUCCUUAAAUGUAUGCAAUAGAACUAAAAGUUAAGCUGCUACUUUAAAAAAAUGGCACAUAACUGUUUAUUUCCUCUACAAAACUAGACAGAUUUUACUUUUCUUAUGAAAUACUAGAAAAUAAUUUAAUCUUUCAUUUGGGAUAUGUGAUACAAUGAAGGUUUCAGUAAAAUCUAUGUAAAUCACAAGAAUGAAUAAGUUUCAGGUUUUAAAUAAAUGACAGAUAUUCCAUCAUUCAAUGUAAUGGGUUUUCCCAUGACAUUGUGUGUUUCAGUUUUAGUAGAAAUCAAAGACACAUGCAAGUCUCAAUGUGAUGGUGAUCCUGUGAAUCCAAAGGUUAAAUCAAUAAUUUUAACCUUACCUUCAUAGGGAGGACUUAGUAAAUAAGACUGAAAUAAAGGGUAGACAUUUUAAAGACUUUCUUUUCAUAUUUGAUGACAUUUCCC